CGGCGAGUGAAGCGGCAACAGCUCAAAUUUGAAAUCUGGCCCCCGGGUCCGAGUUGUAAUUUGCAGAGGAUGCUUCGGGCGAGGUGCCUUCCGAGUUCCCUGGAACGGGACGCCAUAGAGGGUGAGAGCCCCGUCUGGUUGGACACCGAGCCCGUGUGAAGCUCCUUCGAAGAGUCGAGUAGUUUGGGAAUGCUGCUCAAAAUGGGAGGUAUAUGUCUUCUAAAGCUAAAUAUUGGCCAGAGACCGAUAGCGCACAAGUAGAGUGAUCGAAAGAUGAAAAGCACUUUGAAAAGAGGGUUAAAAAGUACGUGAAAUUGUUGAAAGGGAAGCGCCCAUGACCAGACUUGGGCCCGGUGAAUCACCCGGCGUUCUCGCCGGUGCACUUUGCCGGGCACAGGCCAGCAUCAGUUUGGCGCGGGGGACAAAGGCUUCGGGAAUGUGGCUCCCUCGGGAGUGUUAUAGCCCGCUGCGCAAUACCCUGCGCCGGACUGAGGUACGCGCAUCGCAAGGAUGCUGGCGUAAUGGUCAUCAGCGACCCGUCUUGAAACACGGACCAAGGAGUCGUCUUCGUAUGCGAGUGUUCGGGUGUCAAACCCCUACGCGGAAUGAAAGUGAACGCAGGUGAGAGCUUCGGCGCAUCAUCGACCGAUCCUGAUGUUCUCGGAUGGAUUUGAGUAAGAGCAUACGGGGCCGGACCCGAAAGAAGGUGAACUAUGCCUGUAUAGGGUGAAGCCAGAGGAAACUCUGGUGGAAGCUCGCAGCGGUUCUGACGUGCGAAUCGAUCGUCAAAUAUGGGCAUGGGGGCGAAAGACUAAUCGAACCUUCUAGUAGCUGGUUUCCGCCGAAGUUUCCCUCAGGAUAGCAGUGUUGGACUCAGUUUUAUGAGGUAAAGCGAAUGAUUAGGGACUCGGGGGCGCUAUAUUGCCUUCAUCCAUUCUCAAACUUUAAAUAUGUAAGAAGCCCUUGUUACUUAACUGAACGUGGGCCUUCGAAUGUAGCAACACUAGUGGGCCAUUUUUGGUAAGCAGAACUGGCGAUGCGGGAUGAACCGAACGCGAGGUUAAGGUGCCGGAGUGGACGCUCAUCAGACACCACAAAAGGUGUUAGUACAUCUUGACAGCAGGACGGUGGCCAUGGAAGUCGGAAUCCGCUAAGGACUGUGUAACAACUCACCUGCCGAAUGUACUAGCCCUGAAAAUGGAUGGCGCUCAAGCGUCCCACCCAUACCUCGCCCUCAGGGUAGGAACGAUGCCCUGAGGAGUAGGCGGACGUGGAGGUCAG
Molecule: ribosomal RNA, 1281 nt
Filed under: Cordyceps sp.
Lineage: Eukaryota; Fungi; Ascomycota; Sordariomycetes; Hypocreales; Cordycipitaceae
Description: partial large subunit ribosomal RNA
Rfam family: Eukaryotic large subunit ribosomal RNA
Source: RNAcentral